CGCCCCGUCAUUGGGGAGUAGCCUCUCCUCCACCUCCGGAGGAGGCAUAUGUCAACACACUUGGCCCACAGGCCAUGGCAUAUGCGGUCCCAUACUUGGCAAGACCUUUGACCACAGCGCCGCCGAUUUUAGGCCGGGGGCGUGCUGUGGUCAUUCGUCCGUGCCCGGCCUGGAUU
This 176-nucleotide small RNA is filed under the name Duganella sp. RNAcentral's name for it is "Manganese sequence". It matches the Rfam family "Manganese Mn2+ riboswitch aptamer (yybP-ykoY)". Rfam says of the family: This RNA was originally discovered in E. coli during a large scale screen and was named SraF. The family was later found to exist upstream of related families of protein genes in many bacteria, including the the yybP and ykoK genes in B. subtilis. The specific functions of these proteins are unknown, but this structured RNA element may be involved in their genetic regulation as a riboswitch. Lineage: Bacteria; Pseudomonadati; Pseudomonadota; Betaproteobacteria; Burkholderiales; Oxalobacteraceae. The record is from RNAcentral.